UACGAAGGGGGCUAGCGUUGCUCGGAAUCACUGGGCGUAAAGGGUGCGUAGGCGGGUCUUUAAGUCAGGGGUGAAAUCCUGGAGCUCAACUCCAGAACUGCCUUUGAUACUGAGGAUCUUGAGUACGGGAGAGGUGAGUGGAACUGCGAGUGUAGAGGUGAAAUUCGUAGAUAUUCGCAAGAACACCAGUGGCGAAGGCGGCUCACUGGCCCGUUACUGACGCUGAGGCACGAAAGCGUGGGGAGCAAACGGG
RNAcentral lists this ribosomal RNA (253 nucleotides) under uncultured bacterium. RNAcentral describes it as "partial 16S ribosomal RNA". It matches the Rfam family "Bacterial small subunit ribosomal RNA", at positions 524 to 776 of the family's 1533-position model. The record is from RNAcentral.